This 197-nucleotide non-coding RNA is filed under the name Clostridiaceae bacterium. RNAcentral's name for it is "6S RNA". It matches the Rfam family "6S / SsrS RNA". Rfam says of the family: E. coli 6S RNA was the first non coding RNA to be sequenced, but its function was unknown until recently. It consists of 184 nucleotides that fold into an extended hairpin structure with a large single-stranded internal bulge. Lineage: Bacteria; Bacillati; Bacillota; Clostridia; Eubacteriales; Clostridiaceae. The record is from RNAcentral. RNAcentral also lists the same sequence under 1 other name.
CUUAUCCUGAAAUGUUCGACGAGGAACCUUAAUUUUGAACCUACAUGACAAAAAAGGGAAUCCGACUUGGGAUACGGAUGUCAGGCCUCAGGCACAAAUGCCAUUCGCAAGAAUCAGGGGAAGGCAGAAGUAUACCAUAGGAUACCCACCUAGCGAGGCUAGGUGUCAAAAUAAGGUGGCGGCAUUUUGGGAUAUUU